CCAACCUAUCUAUUGCUGCAAGCUAUCCCUCGCUGCUAAGCUAUCGCUGCCAACCUAUCUAUCGCUGCCAAUUUAUCUACCACUGCCAAUCUAUCUAUUGCUGCUAAUCUAUCGCUGCUGUCAAUCUAUCUAUCGCUGCUAAUCUAUCUAUCGCUGCUAAUCUAUCGCCGCUGCCAAUCUAUCCCUCACUGCUAAGCUAUCCCUCGCUGCUAAGCUAUCACAGCCAAUCUAUUGCUGCUAAUCUAUCGCUGCCAACCUAUCUACCGCGGCGAAUCUAUCUAUCGCUGCCAAUUUAUCUACCACUGCCAAUCUAUCUAUCGCUGCCAAUCUAUUGCUGCUAAUCUAUCGCUGCUAAUCUAUCGCUGCUGCCAAUCUAUCUUUCGCUGCUAAUCUAUCGCCGCUGCCAAUCUAUCCCUCACUGCUAAGCUAUCUCUCGCUGCUAAGCUAUCCCUCACUGCUAAGCUAUCCCUCGCUGCUAAGCUAUCCCUCACUACUAAGCUAUCUAUCACUGCCAAUCUAUCUAUCGCUGCUAAUCUAUCGCUGCCAACCUAUCUACCGCGGCGAAUCUAUCUAUCACUAUCAUUACUAGUUCAAAAUAGAACUAGAGCAUAAAUACACUAAACUUCUUUUGAUAGGUAAUGAUUUUUGGUAACACUCAUAGCAUUAUAUCAUCUAUAUAGGGUAAAUCAUGGUCCCAUUUGGUCCCAUUUUAACAAAAUGGGAUCAAAUGGGACCAGAAUCAGUAAUUUAUAAGAAGAACAUGACCUGGGACUAGAUUUAUAAUAUAAACAGUGUAAAGUGACUAAUUUAAUAAACACUAUAUAGGACCAGGACUAAGAAAUUUGAUAAUG
RNAcentral lists this small RNA (851 nucleotides) under Histoplasma ohiense. RNAcentral's name for it is "hypothetical lncRNA". The record is from RNAcentral. Lineage: Eukaryota; Fungi; Ascomycota; Eurotiomycetes; Onygenales; Ajellomycetaceae.